AUGGUGAACGCUGCCCUGCUUCUCCUCAUCACGGUGCUGGUCACCGCCGAUGGCAUUACCGCAGCCACGGCCGGCGCCAGCGCGAGCCUGCAGCCGGCGGCAAGGAGGAGUCGUUUCCUGCUAGUUGGCGGCGCUGGCCUCCCGCCUCUACCGGCGUACGAGUGCUCGAAGAAGUCAGCCGAAGCAUGCCUCGCGACGGGGAAGGCGUGCUGCAGCGGUCAGUGCGUGGACACCGUCGCCAGCGCCCAGCACUGCGGCGGCUGCAACAAGGCGUGCAAGCACGGCCGGACGUGCUGUGGCGGCCGCUGCGUGGAUCUGCUCUCCGACAAGAAGAACUGCGGCAUCUUCUCUAACAAGUGCGACAACAAGUAG
This 372-nucleotide ribosomal RNA is filed under the name Triticum aestivum (bread wheat). RNAcentral's name for it is "partial small subunit ribosomal RNA". Lineage: Eukaryota; Viridiplantae; Streptophyta; Magnoliopsida; Poales; Poaceae. The record is from RNAcentral.